ACGGAUGUGAAGGGAAGGCAUACUCAAGAAAUCACAUGCUUGGUCUGCUGAUGCUAACGGGAGGACUUGGCUGGCUCUCGGACAGUGAAUUUUGUGGUUUCACAUGUUUCCACCACACACUACAGCAAAACUGAUCGUGUUCCUUGAGGGACACUAACCCAGCUAUGCCAAUCCUACCUGUGGCUCAGUUGAUUGUUACAGCUCUCCACUGAAGGGGCAAAGCAAAAUAAAAGCUUUUCAGACACUUGUCAAGGAACA
Molecule: long non-coding RNA, 258 nt
Organism: Peromyscus eremicus (cactus mouse)
Lineage: Eukaryota; Metazoa; Chordata; Mammalia; Rodentia; Cricetidae
Exons: 2
Source: RefSeq, a predicted model, not a curated record